AUGAAGGUCUUCGGAUCGUAAAGUUCUGUUGUNAGGGAAGAACNNGNACCGUUCGAACAGGGCGGUNCCUUGACGGUACCUGACNAGGAAGCCCCGGCUAACUACGUGCCAGCAGCCGCGGUAAUACGUAGGGGGCAAGCGUUGUCCGGAAUUAUUGGGCGUAAAGGGCACGCAGGCGGUUCCUUAAGUCUGAUGUGAAAGNCCACGGCUCAACCGUGGANGGCCAUUGGAAACUGGGGAACUUGAGGACAGAAGAGGAGAGUGGAAUUCCACGUGUAGCGGUGAAAUGCGUAGAUAUGUGGAGGAACACCAGUGGCGAAGGCGACUCUCUGGUCUGUNNCUGACGCUGAGGUGCGAAAGCGUGGGUAGCAAACAGGAUUAGAUACCCUGGUAGUCCACGCCGUAAACGNUGAGUGCUAGGUGUUAGGGGGNUUCNNCCCCUUAGUGCUGAAGUUAACGCAUUAAGCACUCCGCCUGGGGAGUACGGCCGCAAGG
RNAcentral lists this ribosomal RNA (495 nucleotides) under uncultured Halobacillus sp. RNAcentral describes it as "partial 16S ribosomal RNA". It matches the Rfam family "Bacterial small subunit ribosomal RNA", at positions 408 to 893 of the family's 1533-position model. The record is from RNAcentral. Lineage: Bacteria; Bacillati; Bacillota; Bacilli; Caryophanales; Bacillaceae.